Non-coding RNA from Eubacterium sp. CAG:581, 131 nucleotides. The record is from Rfam. Lineage: Bacteria; Bacillati; Bacillota; Clostridia; Eubacteriales; Eubacteriaceae.
UAUAUAUAUUUCGCUGUUCUAAAGACAGUAGGUGCAGAAAUGCGUAAGUUUAUCGCCUACCGAGGAAGAGAAUUAUUACUAUGUAAUUUAUGCCUCUCCUCGGAAACUGGGAGAGGUUUUCUUUUGAACUG